Molecule: small nuclear RNA, 20 nt
Filed under: Arabidopsis thaliana (thale cress)
Lineage: Eukaryota; Viridiplantae; Streptophyta; Magnoliopsida; Brassicales; Brassicaceae
Description: snRNA_03997
Source: RNAcentral
UCCUGUGAGGUGGAUAUUUG